GAUGAACGCUGGCGGCGUGCUUAACACAUGCAAGUCGAACGAAGCACUCUAUUUGAUUUCCUUCGGGAUUGAUUAUUUUGUGACUGAGUGGCGGACGGGUGAGUAACGCGUGGGUAACCUGCCUUGUACAGGGGGAUAACAGUUGGAAACGGCUGCUAAUACCGCAUAAGCGCACAGUACCGCAUGGUAUAGUGUGAAAAACUCCGGUGGUAUAAGAUGGACCCGCGUUUGAUUAGCUGGUUGGUGGGGUAACGGCCUACCAAGGCGACGAUCAAUAGCCGACCUGAGAGGGUGACCGGCCACAUUGGGACUGAGACACGGCCCAAACUCCUACGGGAGGCAGCAGUGGGGGAAUAUUGCACAAUGGGCGAAAGCCUGACCCAGCAACGCCGCGUGAAGGAAG
Molecule: ribosomal RNA, 403 nt
Filed under: uncultured bacterium
Lineage: Bacteria
Description: bacterial SSU rRNA
Rfam family: Bacterial small subunit ribosomal RNA
Source: RNAcentral